Molecule: ribosomal RNA, 253 nt
Filed under: uncultured bacterium
Lineage: Bacteria
Description: partial 16S ribosomal RNA
Rfam family: Bacterial small subunit ribosomal RNA
Source: RNAcentral
UACGAAGGGGGCUAGCGUUGUUCGGAAUUACUGGGCGUAAAGCGCACGUAGGCGGCGCAGCAAGUUGGGGGUGAAAUCCCGAGGCCCAACCUCGGAAUUGCCUUCAAAACUGCUGUGCUCGAGUUCGGAAGAGGUGAGUGGAAUUCCCAGUGUAGAGGUGAAAUUCGUAGAGAUUGGGAAGAACACCAGUGGCGAAGGCGGCUCACUGGUCCGCAACUGACGCUGAGGUGCGAAAGCGUGGGGAGCAAACAGG